RNAcentral lists this long non-coding RNA (1270 nucleotides) under Lytechinus variegatus (green sea urchin). RNAcentral describes it as "uncharacterized LOC121424061, transcript variant X3". Lineage: Eukaryota; Metazoa; Echinodermata; Echinoidea; Temnopleuroida; Toxopneustidae. The record is from RNAcentral.
GUCUCCUCUUUCUGGCAGGGAAUAUGAGAUCGUCGCUGAUUGGCUGCACCUUGCUCAAGCCGAUAUCUUCGCUCGAUCGAUAUCCGGGCGCGGGACGGUCACACUCACAGGUCGGCAUGUUGGUGAACCUUUCUUGUUUAGCUUAGAUUUCACGUUAUUCAUGUCAACGAGAGCUGCAAACAACUUCUCUAAUUGGUAGAAUGUGGACGGACAUUGCAUUCAUUCCCAUUCAGCCGUUGGACUGAACUGGUACUGUAACACAGUAUGGAUGGUCAAUAUGAAGCAAGCUUCAUCGAAUUCCUCCAAGAGCUCUGAACUCUGUUCUGAUCAUUUUGAAGAUGCUGCUUUGACAGGACUGGGCAAACGAUUCGUCUAAGACAGGAUGCUGUCCCAACCACAUUUAAUUUGCCGCCUCGUCAUCAGAAGAAUGCACACAAACCAGGGAAACCCUCGAAAGAAAGUCAUUUAGAUUCAGCAAGCAACCUCCCAGAUACUGCAAAGACACCUGUACCAAAGUCUUCAGCACCUUCCCUGGGACUACUACUCAAUGCCAAAAAUCUAAGAGGGGUAAAGUGGAAGAUAACAGCAACAUAUAUCUAAAUGGGAUGGAGACCAGCAGCAUGGCAGCAGGAGCUAAUGUUGGUCGUGAUGAGGCAUAUACCACCAUCAACAAUGCUGCAAUUGCAGUCACCACCACCAAGUCUGCUUCUGUCACUGCCAUCACCAUUGCCACCGCCAUUACCAAGACCACUCCUGACACAAAGCCCCCAAGUCCUCAACUGACCAGAUAUUGCAGCUGGAGAAGGAUAUACCAGGAACUUCAAAGCCAGGGCUUGCCAGUCUCCUACAAUAAGAAAAAUGCCAUGGGCCCAUCUAAUGAACUAGUAGUAGAAUAUUUGGCCACAGUUGUAGAAAUGCAGAGACUAACAUACUGCCACAGGUGAGGUUUUGUCCACAGUUCCAGAAGGACACAAAAUAGUAUCAGAAAGUCAUGCCAGAAUCAACAACUGAAGGGUUUGAAGAGCCAGAUAAAGAGCCGAGAAAUGUGAUUUUAAAGGUACUUCAAUCACAUGCACAGUAGGAGCAAAAACAGCAGCAAACACACAGGAGAUGUAACACUACAUUGACCAACAGCAACAACUACAGCAGCAUCAACAAUUUCUGCAGGAGAUGCAAAAACCACACUGGCAACCUCAACAACAUCAAGGUGUCCAACAAGCACUCCGGGAACGUUAACAGCAACCACAGCUUCAGCUGGAGUUUCAACAAA